AGAGUUUGAUUCUGGCUCAGAACGAACGCUGGCGGCGUGGAUAAGACAUGCAAGUUGAGCGAAGAACUGACGAUAGCAAUAUCUGACGGGAUUAGCAGCGAACGGGUGAGUAACACGUAGGAAUCUGCCCCAAAGUUCGGAAUAGCCUGGCGAAAGUCAGGGUAAUACCGGAUGUGAUCUUCGGAUUAAAGGCUUCGGUCGCUUUGGGAUGAGCCUGCGUUCCAUCAGCUUGUUGGUAGGGUAAAAGCCUACCAAGGCGAAGACGGAUAGCUGGUCUGAGAGGACGGUCAGCCACAAUGGAACUGAGACACGGUCCAUACACCUACGGGUGGCAGCAGUCGAGAAUCAUUCGCAAUGGACGAAAGUCUGACGGUGCGACGCCGCGUGGGGGAUGAAGGCCUUAGGGUCGUAAACCCCUGUCGGGUGCGAGUAAGGUCCUACUUACGUAGGAAUUGAUAUUAGCAUCAAAGGAAGGGACGGCUAACUCCGUGCCAGCAGCCGCGGUAAUACGGAGGUCCCAAGCGUUGUUCGGAUUCACUGGGCGUAAAGCGUGCGUAGGCGGAGAAAUAAGUUUGGCGUGAAAGCCCCGGGCCCAACCCGGAAAUUGCGUUGAAAACUAUUUCCCUAGAGGAUUGGAGGGGAGACUGGAAUUCCUGGUGUAGCAGUGAAAUGCGUAGAUAUCAGGAGGAACACCGGUGGCGAAGGCGAGUCUCUGGACAAUUCCUGACGCUGAGGUACGAAGGCUAGGGUAGCGAAAAGGAUUAGAUACCCUUGUAGUCCUAGCAGUAAACGGUGUGCACUUGCUGUAGGCGGAUUCGACCCCGCCUGUG
RNAcentral lists this ribosomal RNA (830 nucleotides) under marine metagenome. RNAcentral's name for it is "bacterial SSU rRNA". It matches the Rfam family "Bacterial small subunit ribosomal RNA", at positions 8 to 845 of the family's 1533-position model. The record is from RNAcentral.